Long non-coding RNA from Helianthus annuus (common sunflower), 2287 nucleotides. RefSeq lists it as uncharacterized. The transcript is spliced from 3 exons. Lineage: Eukaryota; Viridiplantae; Streptophyta; Magnoliopsida; Asterales; Asteraceae. The record is from RefSeq and is a predicted model, not a curated record.
ACGCCCCUCAAUCACCAACCAUCCGAUUGCCCAUAUACAACUGAGACAGAACGAGUGAGACAGAACGAGAAAGAUGUGAGAUAAGGGAGUCGAUGACGGAGAUGGCUGCGAAAAGUUCCAGUGGUUAGAGGCGGCGGCGGUUAGCCGCCAUGAAACAUGGUAUCAAUAGUCUUUUCUUUAUCAGAAUCGCUAUCGGGUGGGCUAAGUUCCAGGGUUCCGGCCGCCGUUUAACUGAAGGUAAUGACGAUUAAGAAGGCAAUGAUGGAGGUUCUGGUUAUAGGGAUGGCCGUGACUUCAGAAACGAACUCCGGUCAUUCAACUAGGGUUACAGCAAGGCAGCAAGCUUACGGCGUCUUUUUACACUAUAAGUUUGGUUUUCUUGAAGGUUCAAGGACCGAUGAUGAUGGUAUCGGGCAAGAAAGGGAUUAGAAGAUAACAUUCAGGGCAGGAUCAGCAUGUGAUCAGGUUCAAAUGUUGCAGCAGGUUUGCUUGCUUUCAUUUAUAGUUUUGAGUGUUUGGAAUUCACUACAAACAAUUUACUUGCACAUAACAUUUUGUAUCAAAGUUGCUUUUAAUUUUCUCAAAAAAGAAACCUCCUGCUAAUGGCGAAUUAAGUGUUGCCCCUUCACCAUUCCCACAUCCUAUGUUAUCAAUUUUCCCUGUAUCAGGGUAGCUUCCUGCCUAAAACACCAUAUAAAUACUAAAUUAAUUUGUUAAACUGCAUUUUGAAACUAAAUAAAUAAACAAAUAGAUGUAUGUCUGUUGCCUACUUGGUGUGUUGAAAAAAAGAAUAUGUUUGGAUCAUCAUAAAAUGCGUCAUUAGUCCCAUUCUCAUGAUGGACAUCAAAGUCGAUGAUAAAAAACACGUUUUAGUCCAUGGACCGUUGAGCAUAUCGAGUUAAAAUAGUUACAUCAUAUAAAACUUUUUUCAGUGACAAAAAACAAUAAUCCUAGAUGUGGCAAUUUUAAUAUUAUCUUUAGUCUAAAUGGAACGGGUCAAAUAGGUCAGCUUUUAUCGGAUAAUAUGUAUUGUUAGGCAUUACCACAUGAUCAACCAAGGAUAGGCCUGCUCCUGCAGCAAUCAAGGACUCCUGAAAUGUCUGCAUUGUUGAUGUGGCGUAUGUAGGUCCAAAGUCUUCAAUGCAUAUAAAGCCUUGGUCUAAAACCUGCUCCAUUGCCUAAUGUAUUUGUAUUUACGGCACAUAUUUACAUGGUGUUAGUGAGAAUCAAAAAAUGUAAACAUUGAACGAACAUGGCAUGGGAAGCAUCAUAGCUUUCCUUUAUAGGUAAGUGAAUUGCAAAAAAAUGGGUUGACUGGUCAAACGGUCCAAAGAAGUCAGAUCAGAUUGGGGCAGCCCAUCAAUUGUUUUUUCCUCUUUAACAAUAUUUGCCUAUUUUGAAAUCCAUAAAUAAUCAAAACUGUAAUUCUGUAAAUAGCUAGCAUAAGACUAUGGGGUGUGGAGGGGCUUGGGUUGGGGGCAUUGCUCGACACAUGGCGAGGGUGGGAUCCACAAGCUAAAACUCAAAAAUUAGGGGUGUGGUGGGGCGUCCCUUAGCUGGUCGUGGCCAGCCAUGUGGAAUUUUUUUUUAAACUAUUUAAAAUUUCAUUUUAUAAAAAUAACACACUAAUUAUACUUCUAUUAAAUUUAGAAGCUUUUGAACUGUAAUUAGGGGUAUUUUAGGAAUUUCAAUAUAAAUGACACGUUGUUGCCUCUCAAUACCUCCACCGCUUCAUCUUUGCUUUAUCCUGCAACACGUUAGGGUUCACCCUCUCAUGAAAAUCCAUCUGAAUCAAUACCUCAAUUCUCCAACGGGUGACUGAACUACCAGAUGGUUCUGAGACGAUUUGGUAUUCUCUCACUCUCUCAUGCUUAAUCCGACCGGCAAAUCUUCAUCGACCAGCGGUGGUGGGGAAUCAAACAUCCGUCUCCAUAAUAUGCUUCCUUUAUGCCUCAAAAUCGAUUUUCUCAAUAUGAAUUUCAACGGCCAGACCAAUUCCAAGAUUGCUUCAGAUUAAGAGAGAGAGAGAGAGAGAGAGAGAGAGAGAGAGAGAAACUUAGAGUUUGAGCAGGAGAGAAAGAGGGGCCGGAUUCCUCACAUAGGUUAACCUUCUUCGGUUGGAUUUCGAUUUCUACAACCAUUGUAAAGAUGAUAAUGAUGUGCUGCAAGUGAACGAUAGUGACACAGGCAAGUUCUAUGGUCUUUGUAGUUGCAUUUUCGAUUAUAUUUUAUUGUUCCAACUAAAUUUGGUGCGUGUGUUGAUUUCCUGCAAUUUAUUCUUUGUUUG